UUAAAUUCCUUACUGCGGGAGUCGUUUUUUAAAAAAGAGAUAAAAGAGAAAGAGACAUCCAACAUAAGAAGAGACCGCCAAGCGAUAACGAUUGCCGUGCUAAGUGGUGAAGUGUUACAACAUCACUAUUUAUACAUCUAAUGACGGUUUGUUCUGAACGUCGAUCAAUGAACACUUGUUUAAUUAUAUGUAUUUUAAAAUAUAUGAUAUGUGAUGGUGUGUAAGACCGGUCGCUCCCGAUCUCUUUGAUUCACCGUUUUAUUGGUCCCUGUGAUGUAAACAAACUUAUGUAUGUUGUGGUUCAGCCUGGCUCUACUCAUGGGUAGUCAAUACAGAAGGUACAUUAUAGAGGUAUUUAUUGUAAUCUACUGCUUUUUAACAUCGAAAGUAAGGAAAGUAGUACAAGAACAGUAUUAUAAAGAGUAAUAUGUAUAAAUGCCAUCGUCUACUUGCAGUUGUUCGUAAGUUCCAGGGGAGGUGUGCAGUGGCACUUCUGCUGUGCCUGGCUGUGUCCCGCCUGGUAACAGAUGUUCAGUAAUUACGAGGUUUACGAGUCAUGCGCGCAGUAAACCCGCCGCGCCUCACAAUGCUGGAUUUUAUUAAACAGCUGUAAAAUACCUAUAUGUAAUCAUGUACCGGUUUAUGGCUUCUAAAGGUUUUCGGUAACACAUCAAUCUGGUUGCUGUUGUUUAAGCUUACAUAAACAUUCUCAACCUUAUCCCUUGAGCCAUUGAGUUGUAUUUCAAGUGUAGGCUUGUGAGCCAGAGUUAUAUUUUCUGAAAUCGUCACCUUUCCUUUGUGAAGUUGGUUUUAUUAGUUUUUUUUUUGUGUUAAGUACGGUUUGUAUUUUAUGAUAUUAGUCGAUUGUUAGUUUUACGACUAUUGUUGCUAUGCUAUAUAAGAAAGUCGAUUUUGCAAUAAAAUGUGUCGGUUACUUGAAAUACGUCCCACACUGGGGGUACCUGCGGUAUACUUCAUAACCGAUUUAUUUUUUCGUAUAGACAACUGUUCUAUAAAUUAUAUAAGGUAUCCUAAAUCAUUUAAGCAGACAUUUCACACAUAAGAUUAUGUUGAAGUGUCACCCAGGAGGCAUGAAGAGGCCUCGGUUGCCAUAGCAACGCUGUUGCCAGCCCGCUCAGGUUUACGAUGACGACUCCCGCAGGAGAGCUGGCAGCUUGUUAGGAUUGGACGAUGAUUUUUAUAGUCGCGGGACUUAACGAGGUCACUUGCCACUUGAUAUAUAUUAUUGAUGACUUUGGACCUUUAUAUUUAGGGGAAGAAAAAUAAAGAACUCACGCUCACGAGGGCAGACGGUACAUGUUGAACUAGACUACUAGAGUGAUGGCUGCUUGUUUUGGCCAACUUUAACUUAAUUAUGUAAUAAUAAAAAAAAACAGUUCUAUAGCUUAAGAAAUCACUUAGAGCUGCUGGUCCUUCCGAAACCACGAGUAAUGAGGCUCUUUAUUUUUCAAAUUUAUUUAUUUUAUCAUACUUUAAGGUAGCGAGCAGCGAAGCGAAUUUUAACAUAGCGAAGAAUCAAUCAUUGUCUAUGACUCCCGUCGCCAUGGCAACCUGAUGAAAACGAAAAGAAGUUGGUCUGUAUCGGGCGCGACACGUUUUACGGAAAACGAAUAAAUAUGUGAUUUAAAAAGAUUAAAGAACGAGUGGAUACAUAAAUGAAUGAUAAUAACUAUGUAAAUGUCACGCAAGCGAGCCAGGUCUUGGAAGCUAUAACUGCUUUCGCUACUUAAUAAUAUAAGGCAAGUAUUAACCCAUUAAAUGAUUGAUUAUUUAAUUAACAAGUAACACAGAGAGAUCCAACCGAUUCCAGUGGUUCAUUUAAGUAUCAGAAAACAAGAAUUUAACAAGAAUAUUUUCGUGACAACUUAUUUCCAUUAUUUAGAACUUGACAUUGUUAUUGAUCGAUCUAUUUCAUCAUCACGUGGUACAUCCGUAGUACCAACUGACAUCUAUAAAACAAAUAUUAACUAACUCUCUUUCUUUGCUGCGAGGCUGUAAUAUAAUUAAAUGUUCCCUUUUUUUGCAUACGCUCUGGCAGCCGGGACGAGAUGGAUGGAUUGUGUGAACGAUGAUAUGCGGGAAAAGGAGCGAGUCACGAUGCGAUAAACAAGAUAAAUAGAUAUUAAAUGUACCUUGAGUAACCCAGAGCUGAGGAGACCGCCACACUACAUGAAACAUGUGGGAGAACUGGUAGGACCGCGGUAAGCCGGGUACAGGCACAUAAUGAUAGCGUCACAAUCAUAGCCCGACACUUUACAGGAUGAACCCCAAACUUGGCUAAAUCCCUGAUAUAUUACAGACAAUUUAUAAUCCCUCUAAAUAAUGGUGCGAUUACUCCAAGCCCUCACUAACUAACACGGAAUAGGAAUCGUCUCUUAAAUAUGCUCAGAAUUUGCAUACACAUGUUAUUCAUGCAGAUGCCAGCGUUUAGAAUAGAUAUGGUCUGAUUAGUCGGAGGCAGCGACGAGAAGAAACCAUGGGAGCUGGUAACGAGACUAUCUGAAACACUCGCAGCCGAGGAAUAGGAAUACUUCGUGCAGGCUGUACUACAGAUGGCUAGUUACGAGAACCUUCAUAAUGCGAUAUCUUCGUAGUUUCCAUGUAAAGUUGAUCUGCAAGCAGGUGGCAUCACGUCAGAACGAUCGAUACUCUUAACUUGGGAUUACUGUGCCAGAAAAAGGUAAUUAAAAGAUAAAACUU
Long non-coding RNA from Trichoplusia ni (cabbage looper), 2721 nucleotides. RefSeq lists it as uncharacterized. The record is from RefSeq and is a predicted model, not a curated record. NCBI's taxonomy places the organism in Eukaryota, Metazoa, Arthropoda, Insecta, Lepidoptera, Noctuidae. The transcript is spliced from 2 exons.